CAUUAAGUGACUGAAAGUAAGUAUUGGUCUCUUAAACCAAAAAAUAGCAACUAACAAAUGCUCUUAGUGA
RNAcentral lists this transfer RNA (70 nucleotides) under Tettigades lacertosa. Its description in RNAcentral is "tRNA-Lys". The record is from RNAcentral. Lineage: Eukaryota; Metazoa; Arthropoda; Insecta; Hemiptera; Cicadidae.